GGGUCAGUAGGUUGGUCGUGCCACCGGUACGUACUGGUCUCACCGAUUCCUCCUUCCUGAAGAACCGUAAUGCCAUUAAUUUGGUGUUGCGGGGAAACAGGACUGUUACUUUGAAAAAAUUAGAGUGUUUAAAGCAAGCUAACGCUUGAAUACAUUAGCAUGGAAUAAUGAAAUAGGACGAUCGAUCCUAUUUUGUUGGUUUCUAGGAUUGACGUG
This 216-nucleotide ribosomal RNA is filed under the name Glomeromycotina sp. Its description in RNAcentral is "partial small subunit ribosomal RNA". The stretch from base 46 to 216 matches the Rfam family "Eukaryotic small subunit ribosomal RNA", at positions 692 to 864 of the family's 1831-position model. The record is from RNAcentral. Lineage: Eukaryota; Fungi; Glomeromycota.